CUGAACGCCUCUAAGUCAGAA
Molecule: non-coding RNA, 21 nt
Filed under: Mus musculus (house mouse)
Lineage: Eukaryota; Metazoa; Chordata; Mammalia; Rodentia; Muridae
Also listed under: 1 other name
Source: RNAcentral